This 86-nucleotide small nucleolar RNA is filed under the name Macrophomina phaseolina MS6. RNAcentral's name for it is "Small nucleolar RNA R38". It matches the Rfam family "Small nucleolar RNA R38". From Rfam's summary of the family: snoR38 is a C/D box small nucleolar RNA conserved across yeast, human, Arabidopsis and rice. It is encoded in the intron of elongation factor-1 gamma in both pombe and cerevisiae. snoR38 guides the methylation of 2'-O-ribose sites in 28S rRNA. Lineage: Eukaryota; Fungi; Ascomycota; Dothideomycetes; Botryosphaeriales; Botryosphaeriaceae. The record is from Rfam by way of RNAcentral.
UACUUCCGAGGAUGAGCACUUUUAUCAAAUACAGUUAUCCCUGUCUGAAGAUCACUGUUGAGAAUUAUUCACACUCUGAGAAAAUG